Dermacentor albipictus is the source of this 1440-nucleotide long non-coding RNA. RefSeq lists it as uncharacterized. NCBI's taxonomy places the organism in Eukaryota, Metazoa, Arthropoda, Arachnida, Ixodida, Ixodidae. The record is from RefSeq and is a predicted model, not a curated record.
GGAAUGUUGCUCGUGGGUGCUGGUUGAGGCAAUGGGAGCUAACCUCUGCUGUGGGAUCCGCCGAUGAACUGCUUCGGAGCCCCAACUACUGUGCAGUCUCCGAAGACACGCAAGUGAUCUUUCGUCGACGUCAACAGCCACAUCUUUGCCGCUGCGACGGAAGCGCCAGGGGAACCAAGGCCAAGGCAUAAAAAGGCGUCCCCACAAGCCUGCCGUCAUUCUGGCAGUAGCAGCGGAGAGGCCUGGCACGCUGUCUAAAUCUGCUGAAAACUUUUUGCAGCAAGGAAGACGGAGGCCAUGCUGCUCCACCCAAGAGCUGGAAGGCGUCCGCUUACCCUCGAGCAUGGCAGUGACGUACCUGGGGCUGCUCAUUGAUCAACGGCUGUCCUGGCUACCUGCUGCCAGGACCCUGCACGCCCAGGUUCUCUGGGUUCGCAAGGCAGUCUCCCAGCUUCUUGCCCGAGGACAGGGCUGUACCACCAGACUCCACGCUGACCUAUGACGAGUCGAGAUGAGCAGGGAGUGCAGUCUGUCAGCCGGGUAAGGCGUUGUUGACUCGGAUACACGCGUUGGGCAACACACGCACGGCGUCCUUUCCGAGCCCGCGGGAGAAAGAUCGAGCGUGCCGGAGACAUCGGAUACGCAGGGCUGUACACGGUGUGUAGGCGCGCGCGCGUGCCAGCGAACGCCGCCACAAGUGCAAAGCAAAAGAAGCAAGGACCCCGGCUGGCUCGUUUGUUCAGUAGCGGUGGCGUCGGCGGCAGCUCCCGGUGUUGACUGCAACGUGAGAAGCGACGGCCCCCCUUUGCUGCCGGCCGACGCCCGCGUCGAGUGCCAUCGGGCGCCGUGUUUUUGCAGGCCAAGUUGUUUGCCUUCGAGAUGGCCGAGGUGCGGGCUCUGCACACGCCGCCGACUACGCACUUGAGUGCAGUGGUCAGACAAGAGUGGACCAAGGCCUCGCACCGACCGUGCAGCCGCAUUGAGCCCCAGUCGCCAUUCAAGUAGAUCGCUCCUUGGCGCCGGGGAGGUCUCCCGUGACGAAGGACUGUUUUGCCAUGGCUCAGCGACGCCGCACGGGCGGACGCAGCAGCACGAAAAUACGCUCUGCGGAAUGAGAACUGACUGUUUCUAUUUGCCAGUGAAAAUUUUUAUGACUCUCAAGUUCAGCAAGAGGCCUAAAUUGUCAUUAAGCUAUAAUUAUAUCAUUUUAACAGUACAUAGACAUUCAUUUUUCUAGCGUGCGAAAUAUGUGACAAGGUCGUGCCCACUUUCGAACUUUUGUAGCUUUCAUGGCACGUUAGACGCUACGCUUGUCUGUUCUCUAUUGUUUUUCGAGAAACGAGGAAAACUUUGGCCUAAGUGAAUAUGGAAGCCGUCUGGAAAGCCAGUUAUGUACAAAACAUGCGCUGCUUCUCAAUAAACUAACUUCUUUUUUUUUCA